CCAGACUCCUACGGGAGGCAGCAGUGGGGAAUAUUGGGCAAUGGAGGAAACUCUGACCCAGCAACGCCGCGUGAAUGAUGAAGGUCUUCGGAUUGUAAAGUUCUUUUCUAAGGGAAGAAGAAAGUGACGGUACCUUAGGAAUAAGCCUCGGCUAACUACGUGCCAGCAGCCGCGGUAAUACGUAGGGGGCAAGCGUUAUCCGGAUUUACUGGGUGUAAAGGGAGCGUAGACGGAAUUGCAAGUCUGAUGUGAAAAUCCGGGGCCCAACCCCGGAACUGCAUUGGAAACUGUAUUUCUAGAGUGUCGGAGAGGCAAGUGGAAUUCCUGGUGUAGCGGUGAAAUGCGUAGAUAUCAGGAGGAACACCAGUGGCGAAGGCGGCUUGCUGGACGAUGACUGACGUUGAGGCUCGAAAGCGUGGGGAGCAAACAGGAUUAGAUACCCCCGUAAG
Molecule: ribosomal RNA, 449 nt
Filed under: uncultured bacterium
Lineage: Bacteria
Description: bacterial SSU rRNA
Rfam family: Bacterial small subunit ribosomal RNA
Source: RNAcentral